This 725-nucleotide ribosomal RNA is filed under the name uncultured Nitrososphaerota archaeon. RNAcentral describes it as "bacterial SSU rRNA". It matches the Rfam family "Archaeal small subunit ribosomal RNA", at positions 143 to 868 of the family's 1478-position model. Lineage: Archaea; Thermoproteati; Nitrososphaerota. The record is from RNAcentral.
AGCAUAAUACCCGGUAGACCACUUCUCCUGGGAAUGGUUUAUGGUUGAAAUGAUUCGUCGCCAUAGGAUGGGACUGCGGCCUAUCAGCUUGUUGGUGAGGUAAUGGCCCACCAAGGCGAUUACAGGUACGGGCUCUGAGAGGAGAAGCCCGGAGAUGGGUACUGAGACAAGGACCCAGGCCCUAUGGGGCGCAGCAGGCGAGAAAACUUUGCAAUGUGCGAAAGCACGACAAGGUUAAUCCGAGUGUUUCCUGCUAAAGGAAUCUUUUGUUAGUCGUAGAACCACUGAUGAAUAAGGGGUGGGCAAGUUCUGGUGUCAGCCGCCGCGGUAAAACCAGCACCUCAAGUGGUCAGGAGGAUUAUUGGGCCUAAAGCAUCCGUAGCCUGUUUUGUAAGUCUUCGGUUAAAUCCACAUGCUUAACAUGUGGGCUGCCGGAGAUACUGCAAAACUAGGGAGUGGGAGAGGUAGACGGUACUUGGUAGGAAGGGGUAAAAUCCUUUGAUCUAUUGAUGACCACCUGUGGCGAAGGCGGUCUACCAGAACACGUUCGACGGUGAGGGAUGAAAGCUGGGGGAGCAAACCGGAUUAGAUACCCGGGUAGUCCCAGCUGUAAACGAUGCAGACUCGGUGAUGCAUUGGUUUAUUGCCAGUGCAGUGCCGCAGGGAAGCCGUUAAGUCUGCCGCCUGGGAAGUACGUACGCAAGUAUGAAACUUAAAGGAAUUGG